This 608-nucleotide long non-coding RNA is filed under the name Homo sapiens (human). RNAcentral's name for it is "non-protein coding lnc-TRPM1-1:4". Lineage: Eukaryota; Metazoa; Chordata; Mammalia; Primates; Hominidae. The record is from RNAcentral.
CUCCUGGGUACACCAGCCAGCCCACGGCACAGAGCCUGCCUGUUGGUCUCUACCCACAGGGGAUCCCCUGCUGCUCCACCAUCAGAUUUGGGACACCACCCCCCCCCCGGCCCCACCAGAGGGCAUCAGCUAUGCCUAGCAAUUACGCCCCCGUGGCUAAAUUAAACUCCCAUUGGCUAAAUUAGGCUCGAAGAGAGGGGCACCUGCUGCUAAGCUGUGUAUGUUGUCCCCUAGGACUCCCACCGUUUGCUGAGCUCCACAUGACAACAGCAGACGACAGGCCGCACUGAUCCCACCUGGCUUACAGGUGCUGUCACACAGGUACGCCUUCUUGUGAAUCAUCAGUCACCAUUUGCCCCUCGCAGCAACCCUGUCUUGGAGGAAGGUCCUUGCCGACACCCGCCUCUCCCCACCCUUAGGCUCCCUUGCUCCUUCAUUCAACCAUUGUUUACAUGUCGUUCAGGACUGCUGACUAAACACUUUCAAGCACAGUGGACCCUUGAACAACGCAGGUUCAAACUGUGCAGGUCCACCCACAGGGAUGUUUUUCAAUCAGAGUUAUACCAAGUGUCCCUGCCUCUCCUGCCUCCCUUCCCACUUCCUCCAUG